RNAcentral lists this ribosomal RNA (1455 nucleotides) under Bacillus sp. (in: firmicutes). RNAcentral's name for it is "bacterial SSU rRNA". It matches the Rfam family "Bacterial small subunit ribosomal RNA". The record is from RNAcentral. Lineage: Bacteria; Bacillati; Bacillota; Bacilli; Caryophanales; Bacillaceae.
AUGUCCGAAGCGGACAGAUGGGAGCUUGCUCCCUGAUGUUAGCGGCGGACGGGUGAGUAACACGUGGGUAACCUGCCUGUAAGACUGGGAUAACUCCGGGAAACCGGGGCUAAUACCGGAUGCUUGUUUGAACCCCAUGGUUCAAACAUAAAAGGGGGCUUCGGCUACCACUUACAGAUGGACCCGCGGCGCAUUAGCUAGUUGGUGAGGUAAUGGCUCACCAAGGCAACGAUGCGUAGCCGACCUGAGAAGGUGAUCGGCCACACUGGGACUGAGACACGGCCCAGACUCCUACGGGAGGCAGCAGUAGGGAAUCUUCCGCAAUGGACGAAAGUCUGACGGAGCAACGCCGCGUGAGUGAUGAAGGUUUUCGGAUCGUAAAGCUCUGUUGUUAGGGAAGAACAAGUACCGUUCGAAUAGGGCGGCACCUUGACGGUACCUAACCAGAAAGCCACGGCUAACUACGUGCCAGCAGCCGCGGUAAUACGUAGGUGGCAAGCGUUGUCCGGAAUUAUUGGGCGUAAAGGGCUCGCAGGCGGUUCCUUAAGUCUGAUGUGAAAGCCCCCGGCUCAACCGGGGAGGGUCAUUGGAAACUGGGGAACUUGAGUGCAGAAGAGGAGAGUGGAAUUCCACGUGUAGCGGUGAAAUGCGUAGAGAUGUGGAGGAACACCAGUGGCGAAGGCGACUCUCUGGUCUGUAACUGACGCUGAGGAGCGAAAGCGUGGGGAGCGAACAGGAUUAGAUACCCUGGUAGUCCACGCCGUAAACGAUGAGUGCUAAGUGUUAGGGGGUUUCCGCCCCUUAGUGCUGCAGCUAACGCAUUAAGCACUCCGCCUGGGGAGUACGGUCGCAAGACUGAAACUCAAAGGAAUUGACGGGGGCCCGCACAAGCGGUGGAGCAUGUGGUUUAAUUCGAAGCAACGCGAAGAACCUUACCAGGUCUUGACAUCCUCUGACAAUCCUAGAGAUAGGACGUCCCCUUCGGGGGCAGAGUGACAGGUGGUGCAUGGUUGUCGUCAGCUCGUGUCGUGAGAUGUUGGGUUAAGUCCCGCAACGAGCGCAACCCUUGAUCUUAGUUGCCAGCAUUCAGUUGGGCACUCUAAGGUGACUGCCGGUGACAAACCGGAGGAAGGUGGGGAUGACGUCAAAUCAUCAUGCCCCUUAUGACCUGGGCUACACACGUGCUACAAUGGACAGAACAAAGGGCAGCGAAACCGCGAGGUUAAGCCAAUCCCACAAAUCUGUUCCCAGUUCGGAUCGAAGUCUGCAACUCGAAUGCGGGAAGCUGGAAUCCCUAGUAACCGCGGAAAAGCAUGCCCCGGGGAAUACGUUCCCGGGCCUUGUACACACCGCCCGUCACACCACGAGAGUUUGUAACACCCGAAGUCGGUGAGGUAACCUUUAUGGAGCCAGCCGCCGAAGGUGGGACAGAUGAUUGGGGGGAAGUCGUAACAG